GCAGAGUGUAAGACAGUAGGGGAUGGUGGGGACUGCAGUGAGAUGGAGGCCACAUUUUCUCUCUAAAUGAAGCAGGUGGAAUCCACACACUUGGCAAAUACAUUUAUUUGUUUCCCCCACCAGAAAGUUAGCUCAAUGAAGCAGGACUUUUUGUGUUUGUCACAUGUAGCAAGUGCUUAUAGGCACUCAACCUCAGCCGCUGUCCACAGCCUUUGAGCAGUUCUUGCCGUGUGUGCAGUUUCACAGAUUUUGAAGCACUUUUACAUUCACUUUCUUAUUUUAUCCCCCAGCCUCUUUUUUGGCUCUUUAUUUGCUUCUGACAUGACUGCUACAAUUAAAAUUACCUAAUGGACACCGCCCCCCCCCCCCCCCCGCCCAGUAUUUAGAUGUGUCUUCCUUUUGAACCUCUCCACCCUCUUCAUAUUUUAGCUCCUCUCCAUCCUAAUGUGUUUGGCAUUAUAUCUUGGUUCCCUCUACUUAUCUAUCCUAUCAUAUUUGAACAGUGUUUUGUUUUGUUUUUGUUUUGGAUCGAACUUAGAACUUUAGUGUACUACUGACCUUGGGCCUACCAUCAACCACCUUCCACGCUCAGCCUCAGUCCCUGCAAUGCCGCCCAGCUGCUUCUUGUCGGGAAUAGUACAUGAAAGGUUUCAUUUCUUCGAAACUGCUCUCCUGAAACAUCUUGCUCCUCAAGAAAGUAAUCAUCUAUAGACAUCUGAACUUCCUAUUCCAUCACAUGGACAUCUUCCACAAGAGAAAAUCUCAUCUGCAUGGGAAAGUUAUAGCCUAACCUCCUCAGAGCUUCUCUUGGAGCAGUGGGUACUGGGAUUUGUUGUUCAUUAUACCUCAGAUGUAGGUUUUCUUCCUUUCCUUCCCUUUCCCUUUCCCUUUCCCUUUCCCUUUCCCUUUCCCUUUCCCUUUCCCUUUCCUCUCAGUAAAAUGUGUGUGUGUGUGUGUGUGUGUGUGUGUGUGUAUAUAUAUAUUUUUUUUAAGAAUUUGUUUGAGAGAGUGUGCAUGAGCAGGGGAAGGGGCAGAGGGAGAGAGAGAAGUAGACCCUGCUGGGUAGGAGAUUUGAUCCCAGGACCCAGAGACCAUGACCUGAACUUAAGGCAGAUCCUUAACCUACUGAGCCACCCAGGGGUCCCAUUGUUUUGUUUUGUUUUUAAGGUUUUGCUUAUUUAUUUAUGAGGGGUAUAUAUAUAGAGAGGCAGCGACAUAGAGAGGGAGAAGCAGGCUCUCCCUGCAGGGAGCCCGAUGCAGGACUCUAUCCCAGGACUCUGGGAUCACGCCCUGAGCUGAAGGCAGACGCUCAACUGCCGAGCCACCCAGGCAUUCCUGUUUAAGCCACUUUGAAUUAAAUUUCUUUUACUAACGACCCAAGCAAUUCUGACUAAUAUGUAAUAGAAGUAUUUUACAUGCUAUCUCCAGUGUCUUGGAAAUUAUCUCCAUUUGACAGAUGAGGAAAGGGAGCUUGAAGGUUCAGGGAAUUUGUACAGAUCUUAUGGGUGGUCAGAGGAAGACCCAGGAUUUGGUACAAGGUUGAGCUUGAAACCAGACAUCAUUCUUUACCAGAAACCUUUGAAAAUGUUUUCAGUUUUAGUUUCUUUAAGAAACAUAAGCACCUAUGAUUCCAAGUCUCCUUUGGAGAUGCUCCGUGCCUGCUGCUCCAUACCAGAAUUGACUCAGCGAGUUGUCGGGCUGACUCGAAUUGUUGUUUAUAUAGUCUGUGAACUUGCAGUUUAUGGUGUUUUGUAAUUUUGUUUUCCCUGCCGUUUCGCUAAUGUGGCUUUGUGAGCAAACAUCGCCUGUGAUUUAAAUUCACCACAGUAAUGAAACGGGUACGCGCACACACGCAGGCACACACGCUUCUUCAGAACAGUCCACAGCUUUCUGAUUAAUCACAUGUGUAAAGUACAGUGUUUACAGGAAAUCAGCAGGUGGCAAUUAGCAUCUUGGAAAUUAUCUGGGAAACAACUGGAGCUGCCACUUCAGGAGGGAAACAUGGCAGUAAUCAGCAAAGUGACAAACCCCCUUGGAGCUGGGAAUGAGCAGGGCUGGGAGUGGGGGGCUGCCAGGCACACAGCAGCUGGUGGGGGCAGCCCGGUGUGGAUCACAGACUGCUUGCCAGCCAUGUUCUUUUACUCUCAACACUCAAGAAGCAAGUCUUUGGGUGGAAAUAGUUGAAAUAGUUGCCUGACAGGCAGACUGUCUCAGGACAACCGUUAAAAAACACUCACUACUACCACCACCACCACCACCAUUCAGACCUCGGUCUGGGCACAAGCAGGCGCUGGCACUACUGAUCUAGUUAAAAUAUGGAACUAUUUCAAGAGUCAUUUGUAAACCAGCUACUGUCUUGAGCCCGCCGAGUGGUAUUCCACUGCCGCCUUUCCGGAGGAAAACUCUCACAUCCUCAGGAGCCAGUGACCAGAAGGUUAAAGCCCAAAUCCCGCUCUAGUGCUGAGUCCAGGGUCCAUUCUGAUGGGUCAGUGCCUGUGCUGUCUGAUUGUUGAAUAUUUCGUGUAUCACCCCUCAGGAGUUUUGGUGACCGCUGUGGAAGGCAGAAACAGGAUGGGUAUAUCAGAGGGAACAGGAAGAGAGAACAUUGCAUGGUCCGUUUGAUACUUAAGGUGCUCUUCAUCCAUAAUUGAAAAAAUAGAUAUAUUCUUUUUUUUUAAAAGAUUUUAUGUAUUCAUGAGACACACACACACACACAGAGGCAGAGACACCCGCAGAGAGAGAAGCAGGCUCCUCACCAGGAGCCUGAUGUGGGACUCCAUCCCAGGGCCCCAGGAUCACAACCUAAGCCAAAGGCAGACACUCAACCGCUGAGCCACUCAGGUGCCCCCAAAAUAGAUGUAUUCAAUAUGUAUAUUUAUGCCUAUAUCUAAUCAUCUAUCUGUAUCUAUACCUACACGUAGACCUAUACUUACAGCUAUGCCUGUACCAUCUAUGUCUACAUCUAUACCUAUAAUGAAGGGGCAGUGUAGCCAUGCUGUAUUAUUUACUAGCAGUGUGGCCUAGCAUCAAGAACAAUGUCAACCAUUGGUUCUCCACACUGGCUGCGCAUUAGAAUCAUUUCUUGAAGCUUAUGCAAAUCGCAGGUGCUGGGGGGGGGGGGGCCCCAUAAGAGAUUCUGGUCCUAUGGAUCCAAGAUGAGUUCCGACCAUCAGAAUUAAAAAAAAAAAAAAAAAAA
This 3196-nucleotide long non-coding RNA is filed under the name Canis lupus familiaris (dog). Its description in RNAcentral is "lncRNA (ENSCAFG00845000388.1)". Lineage: Eukaryota; Metazoa; Chordata; Mammalia; Carnivora; Canidae. The record is from RNAcentral.